This 236-nucleotide unclassified non-coding RNA is filed under the name Hevea brasiliensis (rubber tree). Lineage: Eukaryota; Viridiplantae; Streptophyta; Magnoliopsida; Malpighiales; Euphorbiaceae. The record is from RNAcentral.
GCAUAUUAUUGUUCUUCUCUCCAUCAUUUACUGUUGGUUCUGCCAGUGAAUGCCCUACACUCUUCACAAUUUGGAAUUUCUAUGUGGAUAAUGAGGCACAAGGAAAAAUGACCAUUUUCUAUAUUUUGUUGUAAACAGGGACAGAGCCAAUGGUCAUUUUCUACAACAGCUUAUCAACUCCAUUUUGACUAAUUUCUAAAUGAUCCCAAAUUGGGAAUGUUCAAUGCCAUCGUGAU